UUUUUUUUUUUUUUGUCAGAAAGAUAAGAGAAUUCAUUAAUAGAGGCCUAAGGCUAAUAAGAGUACAAUCCAGAUAAAAUAGACUUGGAAAAAAAAGGCUGGUGGAAGCUUAAAAGUAAAGAACAUACGAGACCCAAAGCUCAUGCCAAAAAACCCUAGCAAACAAAGGAGACAAGAAGAACAAGAGUAGUGGCACCGAUGGGAUUGAUCCACCACCGAGAAAUGCCAAAAACAAAAGAUCCUCUAUCAGAACCUCCAACAACCAUCAUAGCUAAAGAAACUCAACCAAGCCAAAGACCACUAUCGUAGCUAUGGAUCUUAUUAAAGACUCAGCUUUAAGAAGGUAGUCUAAAAAGGUCAGCAAGUCUAUGCAAGCAGCGGUGGCUUCAAGACCUCAAGAUGCAACAUAUCUAACCAUUAAAGAACCACAAUCGUAGCCCAACCUCGAAACACACUUUUUGCAGCUCAAACUGACGGUGGAACAUAAAUUUCAAAUGAUAGAUCAAUGGAUAAUAUUCUCUUCUCACGCUCUAAUCAUGCCAACGAAAGUUAGAUCAAAGCAGUAAAGGCGGAGAACGAUAAAUGACUCAUUAGAACAUUGAUUCUCUAUAUAAAAAUAAACAUGCAUAUAAGAUACUUGUAUGUAUUAAGUUAAAGAAGAAAAAUACAGAAUACACAAUGAAAUGAAAAGAAACUAAAACAUAAGCAAAUCUCUAACAAAACCCUCUUGAUGAAACUUGGAUCUGCAAAUAAAAAGUUAGGAACAACUAUAUACACCCACCAAGAGGGAGAAGAGAGGAACCCAUGACUUCAAGUGGUAAGAGGAGUCAACUCUCCCCUCUCUUGAAAGAGUUAGAGGAUGACUGUUUGAAGAACUAUAUACACCCACCAAGAGAGAGAAGAGAGGAACCCAUGACUUCAAGUAGUAAGAGGAGUCAACUCCCCCUGAAAGAGUUACAUGAUGACCGAUUGAAGUAGCAGCAAAGGAGAUGUUAGAACCUCAAAUAAAAAAAAAAGAGAGUUAAGAGAAAACUCUCUCUAGACUAAUCUAGAGAGAGAAAGCUUUCUUUUCUAUUCAAAUGUGAG
This 1086-nucleotide long non-coding RNA is filed under the name Manihot esculenta (cassava). Its description in RNAcentral is "long non-coding RNA (MESC_LNC008622)". Lineage: Eukaryota; Viridiplantae; Streptophyta; Magnoliopsida; Malpighiales; Euphorbiaceae. The record is from RNAcentral.